AGAGUUUGAUCAUGGCUCAGAUUGAACGCUGGCGGAAUGCUUUACACAUGCAAGUCGAACGGCAGCACGGGGCAACCUGGUGGCGAGUGGCGAACGGGUGAGUAAUACAUCGGAACGUGCCCAAUCGUGGGGGAUAACGUAGCGAAAGUUACGCUAAUACCGCAUACGAUCUACGGAUGAAAGCGGGGGAUCGCAAGACCUCGCGCGAAUGGAGCGGCCGAUGUCAGAUUAGGUAGUUGGUGGGGUAAAGGCUCACCAAGCCGACGAUCUGUAGCUGGUCUGAGAGGACGACCAGCCACACUGGGACUGAGACACGGCCCAGACUCCUACGGGAGGCAGCAGUGGGGAAUUUUGGACAAUGGGCGCAAGCCUGAUCCAGCCAUUCCCGCGUGCAGGAUGAAGGCCUUCGGGUUGUAAACUGCUUUUGUACGGAACGAAACGGUUCUCUCUAAUACAGGGGGCUAAUGACGGUACCGUAAGAAUAAGCACCGGCUAACUACGUG
This 503-nucleotide ribosomal RNA is filed under the name uncultured bacterium. RNAcentral describes it as "bacterial SSU rRNA". It matches the Rfam family "Bacterial small subunit ribosomal RNA", at positions 8 to 507 of the family's 1533-position model. The record is from RNAcentral.